CCGCCGGGGGACUACUGAACUUCAUGCCUGAGAGUGAUGCAGUCUGAGUCUGAAUAUAAAAUCAGUCAAAACUUUCAACAAUGGAUCUCUUGGUUCCGGCAUCGAUGAAGAACGCAGCGAACUGCGAUAAGUAAUGUGAAUUGCAGAAUUCAGUGAAUCAUCGAGUCUUUGAACGCACAUUGCGCCCCCUGGCAUUCCGGGGGGCAUGCCUGUCCGAGCGUCAUUGCUGCCCAUCAAGCCCGGCUUGUGUGUUGGGUCGUCGUCCCCCCCGGGGGACGGGCCCGAAAGGCAGCGGCGGCACCGUGUCCGGUCCUCGAGCGUAUGGGGCUUUGUCACCCGCUCGAUUUAGGGCCGGCCGGGCGCCAGCCGACGUCCAACCAUUGUCUUCAGGUGACCUCGGAUCAGUAGCUGC
Molecule: ribosomal RNA, 412 nt
Filed under: Aspergillus versicolor
Lineage: Eukaryota; Fungi; Ascomycota; Eurotiomycetes; Eurotiales; Aspergillaceae
Description: eukaryotic LSU rRNA
Rfam family: 5.8S ribosomal RNA (bases 70-223)
Source: RNAcentral